GUCGGGACACGCGGAGCUGUUGUCGGGACACUGCACCCGGAGCAGCGCCACUGCUGGGACGCGGAGCCGGGGCUGUGCCGCAGCACCGCGCGGUCUCUUCCAGGCCGGGAAUUUGGUGGCCAUGGGGACGUCCCCCGUAGGGGACACACAGCGCCCGCGCUCCAAAUCACAGCUGGUGGAGUGGGGACAGCAGUGCUCCUCAUCCCGGCAGCACACGGCCUCCGGCAUGGGGCAGCACCCCCAGGCUCCGCUCGCGGUGCCGCAGCAUGUGGUGUUUUGGGGGCACUCGGAGGCGCCGUCGGGGCACCGCAGCGCCGUCACCGCAGCGCCCCCAAUGAGGGCCAACCACAGCGUCAGCGCCGUCCUCAUGGCCGG
RNAcentral lists this long non-coding RNA (375 nucleotides) under Gallus gallus (chicken). The record is from RNAcentral. Lineage: Eukaryota; Metazoa; Chordata; Aves; Galliformes; Phasianidae.